AGANCUNGUUUUACUUUGCCUUGAAAGGCUGCAUUGCAGAAGCUGGUGAGGUCUUAGGAAAACUUCAGCUAUGAAGGUCCUUUUUAUUACCUGUCUCCUGGUCAUCUUUCUCUUCCAUGUUGUCUCAGCGCAAACUGAAAGAUGUAAAGACCUGGGAGGUGAAUGCAAAGUCCCAUCAAGCACAAUAUGCCCCUAUGGAUACCUUCCGGAGAAUUGUGGCAUUAAUGGAGUUUGUUGUGCAAAGAAGCCCUUUACAACCCCAGCCUGUGAUGCACUGGGAGGGUAUUGCCAUGUUAAACUGAGUGAGGAAUGUCCUUCUCGCCAGUCUCUUCCAGCCAACUGUGGGAUUAAUGGAAAAUGCUGCAAACCACUUUCUGCUUGAAUUCGAUGGCCCUGAAUAUGCGAAUGUCACUCCUGGUUUCCUGAAGGUGCUUUAACCCAAGAAUGGUCUUUGUGUUAAGUAAGGCCUCAAUAUCUGAGUCAUUUGAUCAAUUCAUUAAACCUAGAUGAAAGUUAAGCUUCU
RNAcentral lists this long non-coding RNA (523 nucleotides) under Salvator merianae (Argentine black and white tegu). RNAcentral's name for it is "lncRNA (ENSSMRG00000003211.1)". Lineage: Eukaryota; Metazoa; Chordata; Lepidosauria; Squamata; Teiidae. The record is from RNAcentral.